CUGGCGGCGAGCGGCGGACGGGUGAGGAACACAUCGAUCUACCUUGUCGUGGGGGAUAACGUAGGGAAACUUACGCUAAUACCGAUACGACUACGGGUGAAAGCGGCGGACCGCAAGGCGUCGCGCGAUUGGAUGAGCCGAUGUCCGAUUAGCUAGUUGGCGGGGUAAAGGCCCACCAAGGCGACGAUCGGUAGCUGGUCUGAGAGGACGACCAGCCACACUGGAACUGAGACACGGUCCAGACUCCUACGGGAGGCAGCAGUGGGAAUAUUGGACAAUGGGCGCAAGCCUGAUCCAGCCAUGCCGCGUGGGUGAAGAAGGCCUUCGGGUUGUAAAGCCCUUUUGUCCGGCAAAGAAAAGCAUUCGGUUAAUACCCGGGUGUGAUGACGGUACCGGAAGAAUAAGCACCGGCUAACUUCGUGCCAGCAGCCGCGGUAAUACGAAGGGUGCAAGCGUUACUCGGAAUUACUGGGCGUAAAGCGUGCGUAGGUGGUUCGUUAAGUCUGUCGUGAAAUCCCCGGGCUCAACCUGGGAAUGGCGAUGGAUACUGGCGGGCUAAAGUGCGGUAAGGAAGAAGUGGAAUUCCCGGGUGUAGCAGUU
RNAcentral lists this ribosomal RNA (600 nucleotides) under uncultured bacterium. RNAcentral's name for it is "bacterial SSU rRNA". It matches the Rfam family "Bacterial small subunit ribosomal RNA", at positions 85 to 683 of the family's 1533-position model. The record is from RNAcentral.